AGUUGCAGCUGUGACAUUGCGCCGAGGCUCUGAAGUGGGUAAUUGCAGACCAAAGCUAGGCUAGAAUGCUGUGUUUGGGGUGGUCAUUAGAGUCGUGGUCUCUUUAGCGUUAUGAAGCCUACCUUGACUCCUAGAUGUUCAUUGUGAAUCUUGUUGGUGCUGGUAUCACUGUACCUCUCAAAUAGCUUCCCCAUUUUGACUAAGAAUGAAGAGCUUCUUGGAUAAAGAACUUGUAAAAAUCAGCCUUCUGCCCCAGCGUCUUCUCCAAAGAUACAGGAGCUUGCUGGACCCACUUGCAAGGGAAGCCUGGAAGUUGGGGAGUUAAUGUCUUCACGGCACUCUCAACCAGUGAGGCAUGAGAAUUUUUGAACACUAUUUGGACAGUCUAUAUACCGGAAGACCAUCGGUCACAGAGCAACAAGCCAUGGGCAG
Gorilla gorilla gorilla (western lowland gorilla) is the source of this 432-nucleotide long non-coding RNA. RefSeq lists it as uncharacterized. The record is from RefSeq and is a predicted model, not a curated record. Lineage: Eukaryota; Metazoa; Chordata; Mammalia; Primates; Hominidae. The transcript has 4 exons.